GACGAACGCUGGCGGCGUGCUUAACACAUGCAAGUCGAACGGAAAGGCCCUGCUUUUGUGGGGUGCUCGAGUGGCGAACGGGUGAGUAACACGUGAGUAACCUGCCCUUGACUUUGGGAUAACUUCAGGAAACUGGGGCUAAUACCGGAUAGGAGCUCCUGCUGCAUGGUGGGGGUUGGAAAGUUUCGGCGGUUGGGGAUGGACUCGCGGCUUAUCAGCUUGUUGGUGGGGUAGUGGCUUACCAAGGCUUUGACGGGUAGCCGGCCUGAGAGGGUGACCGGCCACAUUGGGACUGAGAUACGGCCCAGACUCCUACGGGAGGCAGCAGGGGGGAAUAUUGAACAAUGGGCGGAAGCCUGAUGCAGCAACGCCGCGUGCGGGAUGACGGCCUUCGGGUGGUAAACCGCUUUCGCCUGUGACGAAGCGUGAGUGACGGUAAUGGGUAAAGAAGCACCGGCUAACUACGUG
Molecule: ribosomal RNA, 468 nt
Filed under: uncultured bacterium
Lineage: Bacteria
Description: partial 16S ribosomal RNA
Rfam family: Bacterial small subunit ribosomal RNA
Source: RNAcentral